AUGACCCCUGGUCCCCCCACAGUCGCCACGUCUUCAGCUUCAGGACCUACGAUUGUCAACAAUGAAACCACGUCUUCAGCUUCAGGACCUACGAUUGUCAACAAUGAAAACACGUCUUCAGCUUCAGGACCUACGAUUGUGUCUCUUGUCGCCCUCUUUCUCUCCGUCCUGGCCAUCUAUGCCAACCUGUUGUGAUCACCUACACACACACACCUUUUAUCCUCCCGAUGUUAGUAGCAAGUACUCUCGUUAGCAGUUACUGUUAGUACUUUCUUUGUUUUUGUUUUUUAUUUUAUUUUAUUUUCUCUAUUUAUUCUCUUUACCAGGCGUGGGCCAUCCCCUGGACUAACAAAAUGGGUGCCUUAUUAUUAUUUUUCUGUUUCUGUUUUAAUGACAGUCCACUGCACGUCUGAAAAAAGUACUUAGUUUAUUUUAAUUUAGUUUAGGCGGGUUACAGAACUAUCGACGUAUCGUUCGCUGCCUUACUUGUAGUUUGAUAACGCUUCGCUCUUCAUUGAGAUAUCCACCAUUCUCUCUCUUUUCUCCUUAUUUUCUUCCCUGUAUAAACAUAAUAACAUAUUCGCUGCCUUGUCCUUGAGCAUUUGUGCUCGUUUGGAUUUGCGAAUUCAAAUAAAGUAUACAAACAAACAAGUAAACAUAUAACUUGAAAA
Long non-coding RNA from Sycon ciliatum, 671 nucleotides. RefSeq lists it as uncharacterized. The transcript has 4 exons. Lineage: Eukaryota; Metazoa; Porifera; Calcarea; Leucosolenida; Sycettidae. The record is from RefSeq and is a predicted model, not a curated record.